UGCACACACACGCACAGUGUCAAUGUUUUAUAUACACGCAUACGUCAAAUUGUCGACGAUAUUCACUUCAUGUGACCUCUAAUAUAUGACCUCAGAUGGCCUAGAAUGGACUAGCUGUCACGGCUUCACUCAUAUGAAAGUUUUAAAAUUCUGCCUUAGUGAGAGCCAAUUACAGAAGGAACCCACAUGCAAGCUCUCAACUUUCUAGACGUAGCGGUUCGAACUAUGCGUUGAUAUAUCAGUCAGUCAGUUUCUCUUUUUAUAUGAACAUAGAUAUUGUGGCUAAUUCUGUUGUGCAAAUUUUCUAAACUAAAAUCAUAGGUCGAAAUGUAUUGCUAUCCUUUUCAUGAUCCUCCUUACGGAAAAGGAUAGCACUAGAUUUUGACUUGACAAUAUAGUUUAGAGAUUGUGUAUGAUAGAGUUAACUACAUUAUUUAUUAUGACAAUUCAAAGAAAGUAGAAUGAAGACUAAUUUCGGAGUUUAAUUUUACAAAUAAACUUUGUGAAGAUCACGAUAAUAUGUCAAAUUGUAAAGUUGUUAAAUACUGUCACGACGUACCUACACGAUCCAAAAAAAUUGACAGAUGACAGCCCACUGGAAUGACAAGAGAUUCAAGGCUUAAUGGAAUUUUGGAAAUCACGUCUGAAGUGAAUAUCGUCAACAUUUUUCAGGGUUCACUUAAUAAAAAUAAUGUUAAAACAGGAAUUCAUAUUAUGAAAACACACGGGAACAGUAGAAUUACUAUAAUACGAAAAAGUAGUCAGUUUUUAAUUUCAUGCUCACGCGUAUGACUUGCACCUUUGCAUUGGACGACUUUUUGCGCAGUUGAAGUAUUUAGACGCGACUAAACGAUCUGUGAAAGCGAUUAAGAUCUAUAGAGUGCAUUUGACUUUAAAACUUUGACACUUUGAGUUAAAACGAGACAGACUUAGGUGUCUGAUAUAAAUCCAUCUCGUUUUAACUCUGAGCAAAGUCAAAGUACUUACCCUCUAUAGAUCUCGCUGUCACUGCAUACGUUCACAAAUCCAAAAAUGUCGUAACGUGCAAAGGCGCGUAGUGCAUUCACAAACCUUUAUUCUUUGCAUUCAGUUAGUUCGCACACUCAUGCGUGAACGUUAGUAGAUUCGUACACAGAGUAAUAUUAUGAUAAAGAUGUUCAAACGCACAGUAAACAACAAUCAGAUAGUACGCCUUAUCCUCGCGUUUGGGACCCCUUCAGCUUAUCAGAAGGCCUAUAAUAAGCGAGACUGUUGAUAAGCAAAACCUUUGACUGCAUUUCCACUAGAGAUGUGCUAGAAGAUGCAGCGUAUUCACAACCAAUCUAGAACAGCUUCAUUUUCAUGGCUUGGCUAUCGUCUUCGUCGACGUUUCAACCGAUUGACAUCAACUGAACAUCAGUGUCACCACUUGUGUCCAGCGUCGACUGGCUUAAGAUCGUCUAAUUACGUAGUAGGGAGUCUUACAACGCUGAAUUUUCCAGGGCGGAUUCGCCAUUGAAGCGAUUUGGGAUUCCAACUAUCUAUCGGUUCUUCGAACUAUGUAUUGCCACUUCUGUGACUUGUUGAGCUACCUGGUUCUCCUAUUAACUUUCUUAUCUUGAUCUGAGGUGCCCUAAGAGGUGCCCUAAGAUAACCUUUUUUUGCAAGACAGGCUUGCGCUUGAUGCCUAGGUAUCAUACUUAAUCAAAAGGAUUGAUGAGAUCUAAGGUGAAGCGCACUUGUCUAGAAGAUGCCUAUUCCCUCUUGCUUUGAAAGUAUUUACGUUAUGUUGCAGGAAACACGGAUGCUGAAGGGCAUUCCACGUCUUAACUAAUGAAAAUGAAGCGAUCCUAUUGGUGGGAUUCAGAUAUAACCUGCUACGCAUCCUUGCACAUCAUUGGUGGAAAAACAAUUCCAAGUGUAAGGCCUGAGUCCCGCUCGAGUUAAGAUUUUAACGAGGUCAGGCGUGCGGCGAUCGUCUCAACCACAUGUUUACAAUGAGGCCCUAUUCUUUAUGACAUACAAAUCGUAACAACGCUACAAACUAUUAUCGAACGAAAAUGUAACAU
This is a long non-coding RNA of Maniola jurtina (meadow brown), 2048 nucleotides long. RefSeq lists it as uncharacterized. The transcript has 2 exons. Lineage: Eukaryota; Metazoa; Arthropoda; Insecta; Lepidoptera; Nymphalidae. The record is from RefSeq and is a predicted model, not a curated record.